CUCUACUUUUAUUUCUUCCCGUAAAAGCAAAAACCUAAUCAAACCCAUCACCGUCAUCUUCAUCGUCCUCGCCUCCACUCCAGCACCACCUCCACCAAAUCUACCACCAGCAACAACAACACCACCUCCUAAACAAUCAAUUUAGAUGGAUUUUCAACUUCAAAACUUCAAUCCAGUGAUCAAUCAAUGAGAUACUGAAUUCUAAAUCCUAAUCUCGAGCAUCAAAAUUAUUAGAUUCAUUUCGAUUUCAAUUGGAUUUGGCUUGAAGAACCUAAAAUCGAUGAUAACUAUGUUAGUUCUUACUUGUCUGCAUCGAUUAGGAAGAGACGAUGACAAUCGUCAUCAAUAAUUGAGUCUGAAAAUCCAAUCGUUAAAAACAAAUCAAAAUUGAUUAUCUUCUUUCUCUUAUUUAAGUUUCUGCUGGUGGUGUUGGUACUGUAACUAGUGGUGAUGGAGAAGUCAAAACGAUGCAAUUGAUGAUGGACAUAGUGGUGUUCUUAUUUUGAUGGGCAGUUGAAUGAUUUGUUGAGCUUGGGGUAACACUGUGUAUUUAAACGAACGACUCUUACACGGAGUGAGUGAGUAUGAUCUGUAAUUUCUUGAUUAAAGUUUAAGCUUUCAUUUUUAUUUUUUUGUCUCAAUAUUGAGAAUGAGGAAAUGGUUAUGGUUUUGAUUUGGCAGAGCAAGAAAGGGGAUUGUGUAUUGGAUAAUUGUUGUGGAAGUGGAGAUUUAACAUUUUUUUUCUCUGAUAAGAUUGGUUCUCAAGGGAAUGUUUGGAGAAUCAUACUGUUACUGGUCUUAAUGUCUCGCAAUUGUAUGUAGUUGCAUAUAGACAGGGAUCAUUACUUGGAAAACCCUGCUACCAGAACAUUGUGUGAGCGUUGGUAACAGUUUGUAGGAAGCUAAAAUGACACUGCUGGUGGGUGAUUAGAUAGUGAGUGUCGAUGCCAGAAAUGUGCUAGGUGGUUUUCUUUUUUCCAAAAGUUACAUUGGUUGCAAUUUAUAAAGGCUGGGGUUAUUUUGCUG
Molecule: long non-coding RNA, 1026 nt
Organism: Papaver somniferum (opium poppy)
Lineage: Eukaryota; Viridiplantae; Streptophyta; Magnoliopsida; Ranunculales; Papaveraceae
Exons: 2
Source: RefSeq, a predicted model, not a curated record